This 618-nucleotide ribosomal RNA is filed under the name uncultured bacterium. Its description in RNAcentral is "bacterial SSU rRNA". It matches the Rfam family "Bacterial small subunit ribosomal RNA", at positions 68 to 683 of the family's 1533-position model. The record is from RNAcentral.
GGUAACAUUUCUAGCUUGCUAGAAGAUGACGAGUGGCGGACGGGUGAGUAAUACUUAGGAAUAUGCCUUUGUGUGGGGGAUAACUAUUGGAAACGAUAGCUAAUACCGCAUAACGUCUUCGGACCAAAGGGGGCUCCGGCUCCCGCGCAAAGAGUAGCCUAAGCGAGAUUAGCUUGUUGGUGAGGUAAAGGCUCACCAAGGCGACGAUCUCUAGCUGUUCUGAGAGGAAGAUCAGCCACACUGGGACUGAGACACGGCCCAGACUCCUACGGGAGGCAGCAGUGGGGAAUAUUGCACAAUGGGGGCAACCCUGAUGCAGCCAUGCCGCGUGUGUGAAGAAGGCCUUCGGGUUGUAAAGCACUUUCAGUUGUGAGGAAAGGUUGGUGGUUAAUACCCAUCAGCUGUGACGUUAGCAACAGAAGAAGCACCGGCUAACUCCGUGCCAGCAGCCGCGGUAAUACGGAGGGUGCGAGCGUUAAUCGGAAUUACUGGGCGUAAAGCGCACGCAGGCGGUUAUAUAAGCUAGAUGUGAAAGCCCCGGGCUCAACCUGGGAAUAGCAUUUAGAACUGUAUGACUAGAGUCUUGGAGAGGGGGGUGGAAUUCCAGGUGUAGCGGUG